UGGCAGACCAACGGUCAUAAGCAGUGGGGGAAAGAGAGGAGCGAGGGACCUCAUGUGAUCUCUCCCCCCUUUCCUCACUCUCUGGGGGUAGAUACCAGAGUGGUGGUUAGAAGCCUUAGCCUUAGCUCUGCCUGGAUUUAUAUACUGGCUUUACUAUUUACUAUAUAGAAAUGUCAAAUGAAGUACUACAGGGAAAACUGUCCAUUCGGUUCAGGAGGAACUGAGGCAAAUGCUAAGAUGUCCACAAGCUCGCAUAGAGGAUCAAAGACAGGAGAUUCCUGUAACAGAGAGAAAAUGCAGACACAUGUUCCAGGUUAUCAAGAUUUUGCACCAACAAACCAAAAACAUGCAUCCAGCCUGGUGACUCAGUUGAUUGAUGCGUCUGCUCUAUGCCGAUCUAUUCCAAAUACCAUGAAGAAAUAAAAAGGAAAUUAAAAAGUAAAUAAAAAUUCUGACCAAAACA
RNAcentral lists this long non-coding RNA (463 nucleotides) under Vulpes vulpes (red fox). RNAcentral describes it as "lncRNA (ENSVVUG00000026256.1)". The record is from RNAcentral. Lineage: Eukaryota; Metazoa; Chordata; Mammalia; Carnivora; Canidae.